Triticum aestivum (bread wheat) is the source of this 4540-nucleotide RNA transcript. RefSeq lists it as uncharacterized. NCBI's taxonomy places the organism in Eukaryota, Viridiplantae, Streptophyta, Magnoliopsida, Poales, Poaceae. The record is from RefSeq and is a predicted model, not a curated record. The transcript is spliced from 11 exons.
CCCUCACUACCGGCGCCGCCCGACCCCUAACCUCCCUGGAUCCCGGCGCCGCCCCGCCCCCACCUCCUCCCUCGCUCCCGGCCGCCCAUGCCCUCCCGGCCUCCUCCCGGUGCACAUGCCACCGCCCCUGCUCCUCCCUCCUCCAGGAGGGAGCACCGCCGCCCCUGUUCUUCCUUCCCCCUACCGGCAUGCGCGUCGCCGCCCCUCUGGCCGUCGUUGGCAUCCUGCUCGAACCCGUGGGCCCGAGGAAGAUGGAGACGAUGGAUGAUGGGAAGGAGCAGCGGCUGCCUCGUGAUGACCUCGUGGGAGCAGACGGUGAUAAAGACCAUCAACGAGGCUGCUACUGUUUAAUGCGAAAGGGUUCAUUAGCUGUGUGGAGACCUUUUAUUAUGGUGAUGAUGACAAACAAGAUCAAGCUGUCAAUUUUGAAUUAAAGAGAUUCCAGAAUAGAGAAGGAUCAUUUGCAAAGAAGCUUGCGAGGAGUUGUCAAAAUUUUGAUUAUAAUGCAGCAUCUUGGUGGAGGCUCUAUGGAACUGAAGCACCAGCUCUACAAAGGAUGGCUGUGAGAAUCCUCUCAUUGAUAUCAAGUUCUUCAGUCUGUGAAAGGAACUGGAGUACCUUCGAAAAUAUUCAUAAGAAGAAAAGAAAUAGGCUAACUACAGAACGUCUAAACUCUCUUGUGUUCAUACAAUUCAACUCGAGAAUGAUAGCCAAGAAACAAAUGAUCAAGGAGAAGAAGAUCACUGAUGUCCUCUUAUCCACUAAAACUGCUGAAGCUCAAGGUUUUCUUUUUGAGGGCGGAGAUGAUUAUGCAGAAGUCAUCUAUAUGGAUAAAGAUGAGGAGGAGAUGAAUAGUACAGGGAUGACAGGGAGUGGCGUUGGAGAAGCAAUGGGAGGCGAUGAACUGCUCGAGCCACAUAGAAGUGCGAGACCAAGACAACUUUAUUAAGAAGAAGAAUUUGAUUCUAAAGAAGAGGAGUUUGAUGAUGAGGAGGAGAUGCAUUCAGAUGAGGAGAAUGGCUAUUGAUAAUUGAGGAGACCCAAAUGAACAGGAGUGGAGCAUGGAGGAGGGCUCUGGGUGACGGCGGCGCAUGACAAAGGGCUCUGGAUUGUGGCGGGGAAGGAGUGGAGGAAUUGUGCAUCCGGGAAUGUUGCGACCGCCGAUCCUAUCUGUUGGUAUACUGUCUGACAGGUGCCACAACGGCCUUGUAGCUUCAGAUUUACAAAUUGCUAAGGAGCGGAGCAUGGAGGAGGGCUCUGAGUCGUGAUGGGGCAUGGUGGAGGGCUCUGGGUUGUGGCGGGCAAGGACCGGAGGAACUGUGCAUCCGGGGAUGGCGUGACCGCCGAUCCUAUCCGUUACACUGCUGUCUGACAGGUCACAUGAUCACCAAGGCAUGUGAUAGCAUCUUCAUGCCCAACUCUCACUCUGCUGUCGCCCAUUCAGCGCACUCGCCGAGGCUAGGGGUGGAUGGUUCUUUGAUGCUGGCACAACUGGAGACAGCAAGAAGCAGAUGGAGGGAGGGCUAUCAUGUUGAAGAAGACGCCGGCACCCCGACAACGGAAAUGCGGUUUCUCGGAGCUAGCGGGAAGGAGGCCGAUGGCUUCCCGUUGUAGUAACGCGAUGCUGAAGCAACAACACACCAGGUUCUAUUCUUUUUUUUUUUGAAGAUCACACCACGUUCUAUUUGUAAACCAUUUUUCCACUACCAGUAAUUACUAGAGUAUGUGAACAAAAUCUGAACUGUAAUUUGUGAUAUUUGAGAUGUCUAUAAGUGUACAAAUAGAAAGGCGCCAAUUCAAUUGAUUGUCAGAUUCAGAAUAGUAUGUGUGCAGUGGCUUCUAUCUCAAUUUUUUUAUGUUGUUUGUGUUUGAAUUAAUUAGGACUUUGACCAUCGUGUUUAUUCAGCCCGCAAGGUGGUUAGCACUCAGCAAACUAUUAGUAUUCUGCUGGUAUCUCGUUAUUCUCAAGCUGUGAAGACAUGCACAAGAAUAGGUAUGGCUACAUGCUUUCUAUAUCUGUCAGCUUCAUAAAGCAUUUUGAAGGGGUGCAUCUUGUUGGAGAGGUCUGGUAUGCAUAUUUAAUCAAAGAAAACAGAAGUUUUUUUUAUGUAAUAAAGAUUUAUGAAAAUUUGGACUUUAGAUUGUAUCAGGGACAAUUUUCAUGAUAAAUUACACGAAGUUUGUAUCUUCGGACAUCUUCAUGCCGACUUACGUUCAAUAUUAGGAUAUGUCCCCUCAUGUGCCAGUUUUGAGGUUUUGUUAGAAGUUCACGGUCUAUUCUUAGUUCCUGCAUGUUUUUUCACCUUUCUGUAGAGAUUUGAGUAUAACUUAAAGUUCUAGAUGCAUAUAAGCUUGUGAGUUAACUAAAGCUCACUUGAUGGUUCUAACUAAAUUCUGCAAAAAUAUGACCAUGACAGAAAGAGAAAUGGAGGUUUAGAGGCAGAGUAGAUGCCUGCACCAACAACUUUAUAGAUUGAACUACAUUUUGCUAGAUGACUCAAAUUUUAGAACGCGAGCAUUAUUUUUUUGCAGAAUUUAGUUUACAAUAGAAUCAAGUCAAGCUUAAAAUAAGAGAUCUACUCUCCGAUAUUGAAUUUAAUCCCUUUCUUGCAAAAGCACCACAGAUGAGUGAGGAGGUUAUUCAAUAUUGAAUUUAAUUCCUUACUUGUACCCAUGAUCGAUCUACUUCCAUGCUGCAAGCUUGCACCUGAUCAGGUUUCUAACUUAAUUCAGUUUUGUUAGAUCUGUCGAUGAUGUAAACAACAUAUUUCAAGAUAUGAUGGUUAGAGUGCAGCUUUCAGAUAAUUUUCUUCCCUCGGGAUAUUUGAAGACUGUUUGUUAGCCAUCAAGUUCAGGAAACCCAAGGGUAUCAUAUGAAUUGGAUUACGUAAAAGACACAGAGAUAAAAGGAAGCUACACCGGUUGUUUCUUUGGCAAUUACAAAUCAGCAUCCAUCAUCUACAGACACCAGAGGAAUAUGUUGUUGGAGAAGGUGCAGCGUUGCGGUGAGCAGCAGGUUGUGUCGUCGUGGUGGUCACCCUCGGCUACGAUGGUGUGCAGUCCUUGGCACCGGGAAUCGGCCUGGGAUGUCGUGGAGGGGAGAGGAGGGGGCGUGGCGUUGAGAGCAAGGUGCGAGCUAAAUGACGUGGCGUUGAGGGGAGGCGACAAUGAGAAGCCGUGGUGGGCAGAGCACGCCAGGGAAUUGAGAUGUGAGUGUGACCGUUGCAUCGUGCGAUGAGUGAGAGGGUGAAUUGUUUUUUUAAGGAGCCCCGUAGUUGUAUAGCGGGUCGCGGAAGAGGCAGCCGGCGAGUGCGGGCUGGACGGGAAGGUGAUGCCUGCGAUGGCAACCAUGCCGGCGGGCAGGGAAGGGUCUACGGUGGCCGUCAUGGUGUUUUCGAGGGAGAGCAAGGCAUCCACCAUCGCACAGCCGAAGAAGACGAAGCCUACGUCGAGGUUGGCCACCGUGGCCGGCGUGAAAGCUGACGGACCUUAAGGCUGGUGACGGGUCCGCCACUGCCGCACUGUCUCUGAACUUGGUGGAGACGUGGAAGGAGAGCGGUGGCGCCGUGAAGACCUCGGUGUCUGCUGCCGCGACCACGACCAUGACCAUUGCGUCGAAGACAAGGAACAUGACACAGUAUUUUUCUGGAUUUCCAGAAGACAAGGACCAGGACCACAGCAAACAUCCUGAGUUGGAAGACAAAAGUACUGAUGCAACCAUGGAAGGGGUGGAAGGUAAAGCCAUUCUGAGGGAUAUAUGAACAGCAAAGAACUUAUUAACCUUUUUUUUAUAAAACUUGAUGAUGAAUUGGUUACUAUAGUCCCGUCAAAAUAAUUACCAUAUGUGAAGAAUAUUUGAAAGAGCCGUUUUGGAAGUGAGCUUAUUUUGGAAGUAUCAUUAAGAAUUUGGUGGCAACAUACGUUUAACAAAUUCUUUUUUGUGUGUGGCAGUUGUGUUUUCCUACAUCACACUGUCUAAGCAUGUCUUUAUGUACUGAUUCUGGAUAUACCAUGAUAAAUAGUUUCUAAUUUCUUUCAAAAGUUGCUUUCAGGGAAAAUAUUUGACGAUUGUUUUUUCUCCCAACCUGGCAAGGUAUUUUACUACCUAUAUUAAUUACUGGAAGGUGUGAUUUUGCUGGAAGGUUCUACUUGGUACUGAUUGCCAUACCUACACUGGGGGAUCCUUUGCCCAAUUUACAACUGGAACGUGAAACAUUCGGAAGGUAUGCAAACAUGUAUCAUUGUUUCAUGGGAAAUGGUAUAACCAUGGAACAAUAGUGCAUAUAUUGAGUGUUGUAUCAUAUUAACACCCUUUCCAUUCUGGACACCUAUGUCUUUGUCAUAACGUGGAUAUAGUGUGAUGCCUAUGGGAAGAAGUGGUGCUUUGAUUUUUUUUAAUUUUUUUCUGAGGAGCCCCCAACUAUCAGGUACUAAAUGGAGAAAAGUCCAGAAUAUUUGAACAUGCGAUGGAUGUAUGAUAUGUGUGUAAUCCCUUCAUAAACUGUGUAUAAACUUCAAAUAAUACCUGUAUCCACAAUGA